GAAAUAUAAAUAUAAAGCUUCUAACUUUAAAAAUAGUGAUUAAAAUCAUUAAUAUUUCU
RNAcentral lists this transfer RNA (59 nucleotides) under Lamproptera meges. RNAcentral's name for it is "tRNA-Ser". The record is from RNAcentral. Lineage: Eukaryota; Metazoa; Arthropoda; Insecta; Lepidoptera; Papilionidae.